This 1425-nucleotide long non-coding RNA is filed under the name Chinchilla lanigera (long-tailed chinchilla). RNAcentral describes it as "lncRNA (ENSCLAG00000022805.1)". Lineage: Eukaryota; Metazoa; Chordata; Mammalia; Rodentia; Chinchillidae. The record is from RNAcentral.
AUGACGUGCUCCCGAGGCGGAAGUGUGCUCUUAAGUGCUUCUGCAGGACCCUGGAUCCCUCUGAUGGGCCUGGCCAGGGACCAGAGCUCUGCACCAAGGGCCAGGCUAAAGCUCAGCUGGGUCUUCAAGACCACCUGCUGCAAAACAAGUGCACCUCCCUUUCCCAUUUUACAGUCAGUGAACGCACCUGGGCCUGUGCACACUGGGACUCGGCACAUCGGCACGGACAGUGAUAGGACUCAGUCCCCACUGCUCACGUGGAAGGCCUCAAAGAAGCAAAACUGGCCCAGGUCCAACAUGAGGCUUGUGAGGCAACAUGGCGCCCAAGAUGAACGUGGGCCUGACCCUCCCCAUCACCCGGAUAUGGCUGAGGCCUCCCAUCCCUUGCAGCGGCAUGAAAUGCCCGGAUUUUCAGUUUCUCAGCAUCCCAGUUUCCCUUAGCUGUGAGAUGAGGGUAUGAAUCCCAGACUCCUCACAGCCUUGUUCUGAAUAUUAAAAAAAUAAAAGGUGGAAAACCUGUCACGUGGAAGGUUGUACGUGGUUGGCUAUUAUUCUGUAGACCUGCGCAUAGCACAUAAUCAGCAUGUAAUACGAUUUUGGGAAGAGUAUAUUACACCUCCCUAAAGAUUUUCAGAAAUAUGCUGCAUAGUGGACAGUACGAAGAAGGAGAGGGAAGCUCAGAGUGGGCAGAGCCAUUGGCUAGAGGGUUGCAGAGGAAAUGGUGUCUGUUGGGGGGCUGGGUUUUAGCAGCAUUCGCCUAUCUUGCGAUGUCGUGAUCCUGCUGCACGCUUUAAGGGAUCCUGAAAAUUUGGGAGAAGAAUGCUAAUAUUGGAGGGUGAGAGAAGAUGGCUUCUUGGAUGGGGAAUUGGGUGGUCCUGUCUUUUCCAGACAUAGAUUAACAAUGACUUAAUUCUAGAAAUAUUGUCAGCAAGUAAAAUAAAUAGACCAAUCACUGUGGGCAAAUUGUAUGUUAAUGCUUCUAAGCAUUGUUUCCAGCCUGACCCUUACAUAUACAUUUAAUCAAUCCAGAUGGAUGAGUCAUCCUGCUCUUAAUUAAUCUUUUAGGACAUUUAUAGAGCAGAGGCAGUCUUUACACAGGUCUUAUAAAUGUGGUUAAGCUUAGUAUGGAUUUUUAUUUAUGUGCCUAGCACAAGCAGCCGUUAUUUCUAAGUGAUGGUUUGUUUUCAAUGUUCUCAGACCUUCAAAAUGUUUUAUUUUUACUCUUGGGGAGGGAAUCAGGGGUGAGUUGAAAGAAAACACAGCAUGGCUGGAGCUUCCAAUAUGUGGCAGGACCUGGUUAACCUUUCUAGGCUGUGUGCGUUUGUUGGGAUUUUACGGUGAGGACAAGGAACCGGGCGCUCCCAGCAGGAGGCCUUUGUGAGCAGUGGUGCUGCGUUCGGACUUCUCACAGCUGUCGGGAUCCUG